This 416-nucleotide ribosomal RNA is filed under the name uncultured bacterium. RNAcentral describes it as "bacterial SSU rRNA". It matches the Rfam family "Bacterial small subunit ribosomal RNA", at positions 362 to 775 of the family's 1533-position model. The record is from RNAcentral.
UAUUGCGCAAUGGACGCGAGUCUGACGCAGCCACGCCGCGUGGAGGAAGACGGCCCUAUGGGUUGUAAACUCCUUUUAUCGGAGAAGAAAGCGGGGAUUCGUCCCUGUAUAGACGGUAACCGAUGAAUAAGCACCGGCUAACUCCGUGCCAGCAGCCGCGGUAAUACGGAGGGUGCAAGCGUUGUCCGGAAUCAUUGGGUGUAAAGGGUGCGCAGGCGGAUGGGUAAGUCUGGGGUGAAAUCUUGCCGCUUAACGGCAAAACUGCCUUGGAUACUGCUCAUCUUGAGUGUGAGAGAGGCCGGUGGAAUUCGUGGUGUAGCGGUGAAAUGCUUAGAUAUCACGAAGAACACCAGUGGUGCAGACGGCCGGCUGGCUCACAACUGACGCUCAGGCACGAGAGCGUGGGGAGCAAACAG